This 506-nucleotide ribosomal RNA is filed under the name uncultured bacterium. RNAcentral's name for it is "partial 16S ribosomal RNA". It matches the Rfam family "Bacterial small subunit ribosomal RNA", at positions 30 to 523 of the family's 1533-position model. The record is from RNAcentral.
AUUGAACGCUAACGGCGUGCUUAACACAUGCAAGUCGAGCGGCAGCACAGUAGUAGCAAUACUAUGGGUGGCGAGCGGCGGACGGGUGAGUAAUGCAUAGGAAUCUGCCUUGUAGUGGGGGAUAACCCGGGGAAACUCGGGCUAAUACCGCAAAAUCUCUACGGAGCAAAGUGGGGGACCGUAAGGCCUCACGCUAAAAGAUGAGCCUAUGUUGGAUUAGCUAGUUGGUAGGGUAAAGGCCUACCAAGGCAACGAUCCAUAGCUGGUCUGAGGGGAUGAUCAGCCACACUGGGACUGAGACACGGCCCAGACUCCUACGGGAGGCAGCAGUGGGGAAUAUUGGACAAUGGGCGAAAGCCUGAUCCAGCAACGCCGUGUGUGUGAAGAAGGCCUUCGGGUUGUAAAGCACUUUUAGUUGGGAAGAAAAGCUCAAGGUUAAUACGGUUGAGUGAUGACGUUACCAACAGAAAAAGCACUGGCUAACUCUGUGCCAGCCGCCGCAGUAA